AAAGCAACACUACCUGCACCCCAGCAGAGAUGGAGUGGAACUCCUGUCGGACAACGUAUGACUAAGAAAGAAUAUGUUCCUGAAAGGCAGAGAAAGCUGCAAGUAAGUGGGACACAAUGUUGCUGUGUAAAGAAGUGGCUGUAGGCUUUCUGGGGUCCCACCUUAUUUUGGACACCAGCGCUGAUGAUGGUGAUCCAUCAGCACAUGGUGAAACUACAGAUCUUCACACAAACUCUUCAUAUGUGAUUCUCUGAACUCCAAGGUCUUUCAUCUUGAGUCAUGUUUUUCACGGUAUGUGUACCCAAGGAUUCGGCAUACUAAGUCCAAUUCCGUGCCGGCUGAGCUACCGAGCAAGCCUGUUACAUCCAGAAAGUGAAACAUAUGGAGCUGG
Molecule: long non-coding RNA, 391 nt
Organism: Cyprinus carpio carpio
Lineage: Eukaryota; Metazoa; Chordata; Actinopteri; Cypriniformes; Cyprinidae
Source: Ensembl